RNAcentral lists this ribosomal RNA (524 nucleotides) under uncultured bacterium. RNAcentral describes it as "bacterial SSU rRNA". It matches the Rfam family "Bacterial small subunit ribosomal RNA", at positions 777 to 1297 of the family's 1533-position model. The record is from RNAcentral.
AAUAGAUACCCUGGUAGUCCACGCCGUAAACGAUGAUCACUAGACGUUGGUUUUGCUUGCAAAAUCAGUGUCGUAGCUAACGCGUUAAGUGAUCCGCCUGGGGAUUACGGUCGCAAGACUAAAACUUAAAGGAAUUGACGGGGGUCCGCACAAGCGGUGGAACAUGUGGUUUAAUUCGACACUACGCGAGAAACCUUACCUAGGCUUGACAUGUAUUUGACAGCCGUAGAAAUACGGUCUUUGGGCUUCGGUCCGACAGAUACACAGGUGCUGCAUGGCUGUCGUCAGCUCGUGUCGUGAGAUGUCUGGUUGAGUCCUCUAACGAGCGCAACUCCUACUGCCAGUUGCUAUUUCGAAAGAAAGCACUCUGGCGGAACUGCCUGGGAAACCAGGAGGAAGGUGGGAAUGACGUCAAGUCAUCAUGGUCCUUAUGUCUAGGGCAACACACGUGUUACAAUGAUCAGUACAAAGGGUUGCAAACCCGUAAGGGGAAGCCAAUCUCAGAAAGCUGGUCUAAGUUCGGA